UUGAAUUUUAAUGAAGAGUUUGGUUGUAGCUGGCCCAUUCAUUUGGGCAUGUGCACACCUUCCUCUUCAUCCCACACACACCUGUGAACCUGUGAGACAGAGAUGGGGAAUUUACUUGCUGCUUUUGGAAUACAAAGGCAGUAGGUUAUUGGACCCCCCCUCUGUCUACUCAAUUAAUAUAAACUCAAUUUAUUUUAAACGAAUGUAAUGGAUGUAACACAUCUCAUAC
This 229-nucleotide unclassified non-coding RNA is filed under the name soil metagenome. RNAcentral's name for it is "partial internal transcribed spacer 1". The record is from RNAcentral.